Molecule: long non-coding RNA, 953 nt
Filed under: Salvia miltiorrhiza (redroot sage)
Lineage: Eukaryota; Viridiplantae; Streptophyta; Magnoliopsida; Lamiales; Lamiaceae
Description: long non-coding RNA (SMIL_LNC014084)
Source: RNAcentral
AUCAUUCUUAGCUACGGGGAGGGCUAUGAUAGAUGUGCCCAAUGGAAGCGUAGUAUUUCACGCAGCUGAUGCGCAUGAGUCCUCUACCUCUGUUCGUGUUAGGCGGUCUGUCACGCCUGCUGCGUUUGAUGUUCAUUGAGGCUAUGAGGUAUCGUCGAGCUCUAGACGUUAAAUUAAGCACUUGUUGGGAGGUAACCCAACUGUUUUUCUUUGUUUUGUUUUUCUUUCUUUUAGUUUCGUUUUGUUUCGUUGUUUUGUUUGGGAGUUUAGUGCAGUGUUGAGCUUGGAAGAUGCGGGAACUCGCGCUUGGUUCAUACCACCACCAUGGAGCAUGUAUUUCUGUGAGUAGUGACACACAUAUCAUCAUCCCUCCAAACUUAUUUUCGAACUUAUGUUCUGUAAUAAGUUUGGGGGAGGGGGGUGAGAGUAGAUAUGUGUAUCACUUUUAUCUUUUUGUUAGCUUUAUUGUUUUAUCCUACUUGGUUGGUGGUGUGUGAUUGUUUUUUUUUUUGAGAUGAUUAUUGCUCCAUUAGAUUUCUGGUGAGAUGCCAAUGAUGAUUUCUGUGAAAAAAAAAAUUUUGGAGUUUGAUUUUCUUUGAUGAUUUAAGUAUAACUGGAACUAAUUUGCAUAAUUCUAGAGUGAUUUUAACCUUGACUUUUGGACGUUGAAUAAACCUGUGAGAUUUUGAGCCAUAACUGUUUAUCAUACACAGUUUAUUCUUUGUUGUGAGUUUUGUCAUGCAUAUGUGGUGAUCUUCUAGAACUUGCCAUGGUUUCUGUGUCGAGGUUGCUGUUGUGCCCAGGAUUAGGAGAUGAUUUUAGGCCAUCUUUUGUUAGCCACAUUAUUUUCCCAAACACUGUCCUUAUUGAAAAAAAUUAUCCUUUGUUAUCCACUUUGAGCCUAUUUAGCUUUUAUUCUUUAGCCGGAUGAUAGGGGUGAUGUAGUAUAUGGG